AGAGUUUGAUCCUGGCUCAGGAUGAACGCUGGCGGUGUGCCUAAUACAUGCAAGUCGAUCGGGCGUAGCAAUACGUCAGAGGCGUACGGGUGAGUAACACGUAGGUAACCUACCUUUAAGACUGGGAUACCCAGACGAAAGUUUGGCUAAUACCGGAUAACAACAUUUGAGACAUCUCUUUUGUUUGAAAGGCGCUGCAAGGCGCCACUUUUAGAUGGACCUGCGUCGCAUUAGCUAGUUGGUGAGAUAAAAGCCCACCAAGGCUGGGAUGCGUAGCCGAUCUGAGAGGAUGACCGGCCACAAUGGGACUGAGACACGGCCCAUACUCCUACGGGAGGCAGCAGUAGGGAGUUUUCGGCAAUGGGGAAACCCUGACCGAGCAACACCGCGUGAGUGAAUGAAGGUCUUCGGAUCGUAAAGCUCUGUUACGAGGGACGAAUGAUCGCUUUAGGAAAUGAGAGCGGUUUGACGGUACCUCGCCAGAAAGCGACGGCUAACUACGUGCCAGCCGCCGC
RNAcentral lists this ribosomal RNA (515 nucleotides) under uncultured bacterium. RNAcentral's name for it is "bacterial SSU rRNA". It matches the Rfam family "Bacterial small subunit ribosomal RNA", at positions 8 to 518 of the family's 1533-position model. The record is from RNAcentral.